Long non-coding RNA from Neltuma alba, 91 nucleotides. RefSeq lists it as uncharacterized. Lineage: Eukaryota; Viridiplantae; Streptophyta; Magnoliopsida; Fabales; Fabaceae. The record is from RefSeq and is a predicted model, not a curated record. The transcript has 4 exons.
UUCUUCUUCGGUGGGGUGAAACCGGAAGCCCGGCAACUGCAUAUUAUCGCCCAUAUUAAUAUAUAUUCUGCCUUCCAUACAGGCACCACAA